GACAGAGGGUGCAAACGUUGCUCGGAAUCACUGGGCGUAAAGGGCGUGUAGGCGGGAAGGAAAGUCAGAUGUGAAAUCCCUGGGCUCAACCCAGGAACUGCAUUUGAAACUCCCUUUCUUGAGUACCGGAGAGGAAGGUGGAGUUCCUGGUGUAGAGGUGAAAUUCGUAGAUAUCAGGAGGAACACCGGUGGCGAAGGCGGCCUUCUGGACGGUAACUGACGCUGAGACGCGAAAGCGUGGGGAGCAAACAGG
Molecule: ribosomal RNA, 253 nt
Filed under: uncultured bacterium
Lineage: Bacteria
Description: partial 16S ribosomal RNA
Rfam family: Bacterial small subunit ribosomal RNA
Source: RNAcentral